Nerophis ophidion (straightnose pipefish) is the source of this 1072-nucleotide long non-coding RNA. RefSeq lists it as uncharacterized. The record is from RefSeq and is a predicted model, not a curated record. NCBI's taxonomy places the organism in Eukaryota, Metazoa, Chordata, Actinopteri, Syngnathiformes, Syngnathidae. The transcript has 5 exons.
CACGGAUCGUGGCACACUUAUGUUCAAAGGGGUGACUCUACACUAAACACAGUAUUUCCAUAGCUAAUAUUACUUGCUAAUACUUACCUGUAGGACCUGUUGAGUAAAGUUAACAUGUAUUUGAGUACUUACCAUGAAUAUGUAGACAAAGUAACUGAUAUAAUACUGAGUAUGGGGAGGAUUGAAUGCAGUGCAAAUAUUGCAAAUUGGAAAGCUCCAAUCAAGAGAUAUCUGAAAAAUGUCAUGGCAUCACCAGCAAAGACCUCCUGAAGACUUUCAAUGAGUGCCUUGAGAAUUAUGUGCCUCGCCUGCUCAGACUGUACCGGGCUAGAAAGGAAGCUAUUGGUCAGCAGAUAGAAGACUUCCUGGAUAAGCUUGAUGAACAAACAUCAGACAUUGUGUCUCACCGAAAGAUGACAGCACUGAGAUGCCUCCCCGUUUUUGUCUGGGACGACACAACUAAGUGUGGAGAGACGCAGCCGACGGGCCGACAGCGGGCGGACAGAGGCGUUCUGGACCAAGAUGAAGGCCAGGAGGCGGGGCAUGCGGCGUGACGCACGCGGAGCGGCAGGAGGACGGCCAUCGGAGUCGGGUGCGUAGGACACACAUCUGCUCACAAUCUGCGCAUCUGCUCCUAGACUUUAAGAGAGGCGAAGGGGGCACGAUUGCGAGAGGGAAGACAGGAAAGGAAAGGAAACCACGGCAGCCCGACCACGAGCCCGACGACAGAGAGCAGUCCGCAACGAGUCCCCGCCACAGACGCAGCAGGCGAGCACCAAAGGGUGCAGAGCGACCAGGAAGAGGUGCCAGCGCACUAGAAAUGGGUGCGCCCGACUGGCCCGAAGAAAGGUUGUUUGAACCAAUAAAUGGGAAUCAAACCUGCUACGAUGCGUCGUGUGUUCAAUGUCACAGCAACCCACACGAGGACGGCUGGGAGUUUGUCACAUACGUUUUUCCUGCAGCAUUUGGAAAGUGACCCUGAAGAAAGAGUGCUCAGAGGCGUGUCUGUUGGCAUCUUUACAAUCCUUGAAGAAGAUGAUCCUGCUGUAUCACCCGACUUACGGGACUGGGC